RNAcentral lists this ribosomal RNA (1848 nucleotides) under metagenome. Its description in RNAcentral is "SSU rRNA". It matches the Rfam family "Eukaryotic small subunit ribosomal RNA". The record is from RNAcentral.
GGUUGACCCUGCCAGUAGCAUAUGCUUGUCUCUGAGACUAAGCCAUGCAUGUCUAAGUAUAAAUUAAUUUUUACGGUGAAACUGCGGACGGCUCAUUAAAUCAGUUAUAACCUACUUGAUCGUGUGACUUUAUUCGGAUAACCCUAGUAAUUCUAGAGCUAAUACGUGCUAAAAGCCUUAACUUCCAGCAAUGGGGGAAGAGGUGUAUUUAUUAGAAACUAAAACCAAUCAGCUUCGGCUGUUUGAGAUGAUUCAUAAUAACUCGGCAAAUUACGGGAAAAUUCCUGUGAUGAUUCAAACGGAUUUCUGACCUAUCAACUUUAGAUGGCAAAGUAGGGGUUUGCCAUGGUGACAACGGGUGACGGGGAAUUAGGGUUCGAUUCCGGAGAGGGAGCCUGAGAAACGGCUACCACUUCCAAGGAAGGCAGCAGGCGCGCAAAUUACCCAAUGCUAAUUCGGCGAGGUAGUGACAAGAAAUACCAAUGUAGGACCCAACGGGUACUACGUUUGGAAUGAGAACAAUUUAAAAACCUUAACGAGGAACAAUUGGAGGGCAAGUCUGGUGCCAGCAGCCGCGGUAAUUCCAGCUCCAAUAGUGUAUAUUAAAGUUGCUGCGGUUAAAAAGCUCGUAGUUGGAUUACGAAGUGGUGUUUAAAUGUCAUUUUGGUUUGUUUGUCUUUCGGGGCAUUCAGGUCAACUUGGCUUUUACUCACUGUUGUCAUUGUCUUUGCCCAAGGUAUAUGCCUUGUGUGCAUGGCAUUGACCUUCUAUUUUAUGGUAAUGUUGUAUCUUUCGGGGUACAUUCAUUCCAUAUAGUUUACUUUGAAAAAAUUAGGGUGUUUAAAGCAGGCGAAAAGGCUUCGGAAUAUAUUAGCAUGGGAUAAUAGAAUACGAUCUAGGUCGUAAUUUGUUGGUUUCUACGGCUUAGGUAAUGAUUGACAGGGAUAGUUGGGGUCGCUCGUAUUGAGUUGUCAGAGGUGAAAUUCUAGGAUUAACUCAAGACGAACUAAUGCGAAAGCAUUCGGCAAGGAUGUUUUCAUUAAUCAAGAACGAAAGUUGGGGGAUCGAAGAUGAUCAGAUACCGUCGUAGUCUCAACUGUAAACUAUGUCGACCGAGGAUCCGGUAGCGUUACGGAUGACCUUCCGGGCACUCUGUGAGAAAUCAUAAGUAUUUGGAUUUCGGGGGGAGUAUGGUCGCAAGGCUGAAACUUAAAGGGAUUGACGGAAGGGCACCACCAGGAGUGGAAUCUGCGGCUUAAUUUGACCCAACACGGGAAAACUUACCAGGUCCGGACACAGUGAGGAUUGACAGAUUGAGAGCUCUUUCUUGAUUUUGUGGGUGGUGGUGCAUGGCCGUUUUUAGUUGGUGGAGUGAUUUGUCUGGUUAAUUCCGUUGACGAACGAGACCUUAACCUGCUAAAUAGCUAGGCUUAACUUUGUUAGGUCGUCAGCUUCUUAGAGGGACUAUCGGUGUUUAACCGAUGGAAGUUUGAGGCAAUAACAGGUCUGUGAUGCCCUUAGAUGUUCUGGGCCGCACGCGCGCUACACUGAUGAAGUCAACGAGUUCAUUUCCUUUAUCGGAAGAUAUGGGUAAUCUUUUGAAACUUCAUCGUGCUGGGGAUAGAGCAUUGCAAUUAUUGCUCUUCAACGAGGAAUCCCUAGUAAGCACAAGUCAUCAGCUUGUGCUGAUUACGUCCCUGCCCUUUGUACACACCGCCCGUCGCUACUACCGAUUGAAUGGCUUAGUGAGACCCUCGGAUUGACGUUCAUCGGCUGUAAAAGGCUCUUGCCUGUUGAAAAGUUGGUCAAACUUGGUCAUUUAGAGGAAGUAAGAGUCGUAACAAGGUU